This 220-nucleotide ribosomal RNA is filed under the name uncultured bacterium. RNAcentral's name for it is "partial 16S ribosomal RNA". It matches the Rfam family "Bacterial small subunit ribosomal RNA", at positions 111 to 334 of the family's 1533-position model. The record is from RNAcentral.
UAAUACAUCGGAACGUGCCCAGUCGUGGGGGAUAACGUAGCGAAAGCUACGCUAAUACCGCAUACGAACUCUGGUUGAAAGCGGGGGAUCGCAAGACCUCGCGCGAUUGGAGCGGCCGAUGGCAGAUUAGGUAGUUGGUGGGGUAAAGGCUCACCAAGCCGACGAUCUGUAGCUGGUCUGAGAGGACGACCAGCCACACUGGGACUGAGACACGGCCCAG